UGGGGAAUAUUGGACAAUGGGCGAAAGCCUGAUCCAGCCAUGCCGCGUGUGUGAAGAAGGCCUUUUGGUUGUAAAGCACUUUAAGUGGGGAGGAAAAGCUUACGGUUAAUACCCAUAAGCCCUGACGUUACCCACAGAAUAAGCACCGGCUAACUCUGUGCCAGCAGCCGCGGUAAUACAGAGGGUGCAAGCGUUAAUCGGAAUUACUGGGCGUAAAGCGCGCGUAGGUGGUUAUUUAAGUCAGAUGUGAAAGCCCCGGGCUUAACCUGGGAACUGCAUCUGAUACUGGAUAACUAGAGUAGGUGAGAGGGGAGUAGAAUUCCAGGUGUAGCGGUGAAAUGCGUAGAGAUCUGGAGGAAUACCGAUGGCGAAGGCAGCUCCCUGGCAUCAUACUGACACUGAGGUGCGAAAGCGUGGGUAGCAAACAGGAUUAGAUACCCUGGUAGUCCACGCCGUAAACGAUGUCUACCAGUCGUUGGGUCUUUUAAAGACUUAGUGACGCAGUUAACGCAAUAAGUAGACCGCCUGGGGAGUACGGCCGCAAGGUUA
Molecule: ribosomal RNA, 549 nt
Filed under: uncultured bacterium
Lineage: Bacteria
Description: bacterial SSU rRNA
Rfam family: Bacterial small subunit ribosomal RNA
Source: RNAcentral